GUCCCCAUCGUCUAGAGGCCUAGGACACCGCCCUUUCACGGCGAUAACCGGGGUUCGAAUCCCCGUGGGGACGCCA
RNAcentral lists this transfer RNA (76 nucleotides) under Novispirillum itersonii. RNAcentral describes it as "tRNA-Glu". It matches the Rfam family "tRNA". Rfam says of the family: Transfer RNA (tRNA) molecules are approximately 80 nucleotides in length. Their secondary structure includes four short double-helical elements and three loops (D, anti-codon, and T loops). The record is from RNAcentral. Lineage: Bacteria; Pseudomonadati; Pseudomonadota; Alphaproteobacteria; Rhodospirillales; Novispirillaceae. RNAcentral also lists the same sequence under 192 other names.